AAACCAACAGGGAUUGCCUCAGUAACGGCGAGUGAAGCGGCAAAAGCUCAAAUUUGAAAUCUAGUACCUUCGGUGCUCGAGUUGUAAUUUGAAGAUGGUAAUCCUGGCGCUGGCCCUUGUCUAUGUUCCUUGGAACAGGACGUCAUAGAGGGUGAGAAUCCCGUCUGAUGGGGUGUCCAGUGCUAUGUAGGAUGCUAUCGAAGAGUCGAGUUGUUUGGGAAUGCAGCUCUAAGUGGGUGGUAAAUUCCAUCUAAAGCUAAAUAUUGGCGAGAGACCGAUAGCGAACAAGUACAGUGAUGGAAAGAUGAAAAGAACUUUGAAAAGAGAGUGAAAAAGUACGUGAAAUUGUUGAAAGGGAAGGGUAUUAGAUCAGACUUGGUGUUUUAUGAUUAUCUUCUCUUCUUGAGUUGUGCACUCGUAUUUCACUGGGCCAGCAUCGAUUCGGAUGGUAAGAUAAUGACAUUGGAACGUGGCAUCAUUCGUGAUGUGUUAUAGCCUUUGUUGAUAUUGCCUAUCUGGAUCGAGGACUGCGGCUUCUGCCUAGGAUGCUGGCGUAAUGAUCUAAUAUCGC
Molecule: ribosomal RNA, 571 nt
Filed under: Xingzhongia hampshirensis
Lineage: Eukaryota; Fungi; Ascomycota; Saccharomycetes; Phaffomycetales; Wickerhamomycetaceae
Description: eukaryotic LSU rRNA
Rfam family: Eukaryotic large subunit ribosomal RNA
Source: RNAcentral